GACGAACGCUGGCGGCGUGCUUAACACAUGCAAGUGGAGCGACGAACCAGGGCUUGCCCUGGGGCAGAGCCGCGAACGGGUGAGUAACACGUGGGUAACGUGCCCCGAUGACUGGGACAACCCGGGGAAACCCGGGCUAAUACCGGAUGUGCCCCCUCACAUCAGUGAGGUGUGUAAAGGAAGCUUCGGCCUCCGCAUCGGGAUCGGCCCGCGGCCCAUUAGCUUGUUGGUGAGGUAACGGCUCACCAAGGCUGCGAUGGGUAGCUGGUCUGAGAGGACGAUGCGCCACACUGGGACUGAGACACGGGCCAGACUCCUACGGGAGGCAGCAGUGGGGAAUCUUGCGCAAUGGGCGGAAGCGGGACGCAGCAACGCCGCGUGGGGGAAGACGGCCUUCGGGUUGUAAACCCCUUUCAGUUGGGACGAAGGUCGGGCGGUUAACAGCCGUUCCGGCUGACGGUACCUUCACAAGAAGCCCCGGCUAACUACGUG
Molecule: ribosomal RNA, 492 nt
Filed under: uncultured bacterium
Lineage: Bacteria
Description: partial 16S ribosomal RNA
Rfam family: Bacterial small subunit ribosomal RNA
Source: RNAcentral